UGAGGAAUAUUGGUCAAUGGACGCAAGUCUGAACCAGCCAAGUAGCGUGCAGGAUGACGGCCCUAUGGGUUGUAAACUGCUUUUAUAUGGGGAUAAAGUGGGGAACGUGUUCCCUUUUGCAGGUACCAUAUGAAUAAGGACCGGCUAAUUCCGUGCCAGCAGCCGCGGUAAUACGGAAGGUUCGGGCGUUAUCCGGAUUUAUUGGGUUUAAAGGGAGCGUAGGCCGUUUGGUAAGCGUGUUGUGAAAUGUAGGAGCUCAACUUCUAGAUUGCAGCGCGAACUGUCAGACUUGAGGGCGAAGAACGUAGGCGGAAUUCAUGGUGUAGCGGUGAAAUGCUUAGAUAUCAUGAAGAACUCCGAGUGCGAAGGCAGCUUACGGGAGCGCAACUGACGCUGAAGCUCGAAGGUGCGGGUAUCGAACAGG
Molecule: ribosomal RNA, 424 nt
Filed under: Verrucomicrobiota bacterium
Lineage: Bacteria; Pseudomonadati; Verrucomicrobiota
Description: Verrucomicrobia bacterium partial 16S ribosomal RNA
Rfam family: Bacterial small subunit ribosomal RNA
Source: RNAcentral